GGUACUCGAGUGGCGAACGGGUGAGUAACACGUGGGUGAUCUGCCUUGCACUUCGGGAUAAGCCUGGGAAACUGGGUCUAAUACCGGAUAGGACCAUGCUUUAGUGUGUGUGGUGGAAAGUUUUUUCGGUGCAAGAUGAGCCCGCGGCCUAUCAGCUUGUUGGUGGGGUAAUGGCCUACCAAGGCGACGACGGGUAGCCGGCCUGAGAGGGUGUACGGCCACAUUGGGACUGAGACACGGCCCAGACUCCUACGGGAGGCAGCAGUGGGGAAUAUUGCACAAUGGGCGCAAGCCUGAUGCAGCGACGCCGCGUGGGGGAUGACGGCCUUCGGGUUGUAAACUCCUUUCGCUAGGGAAGAAGCCACUGUGUGGUGACGGUACCUGGAUAAGAAGCACCGGCUAACUACGUGCCAGCAGCCGCGGUAAUACGUAGGGUGCGAGCGUUGUCCGGAAUUACUGGGCGUAAAGAGCUCGUAGGUGGUUUGUCGCGUCGUCUGUGAAAUCCCGGGGCUUAACUUCGGGCGUGCAGGCGAUACGGGCAUAACUAGAGUGCUGUAGGGGAGACUGGAAUUCCUGGUGUAGCGGUGAAAUGCGCAGAUAUCAGGAGGAACACCGAUGGCGAAGGCAGGUCUCUGGGCAGUUACUGACGCUGAGGAGCGAAAGCAUGGGUAGCGAACAGGAUUAGAUACCCUGGUAGUCCAUGCCGUAAACGGUGGGCGCUAGGUGUGGGGGUUUUAUUUACGAUUCCCGUGCCGUAGCUAACGCAUUAAGCACUCCGCCUGGGGAGUACGACCGCAAGGUU
This 802-nucleotide ribosomal RNA is filed under the name uncultured Actinomycetes bacterium. RNAcentral describes it as "bacterial SSU rRNA". It matches the Rfam family "Bacterial small subunit ribosomal RNA", at positions 86 to 895 of the family's 1533-position model. The record is from RNAcentral. Lineage: Bacteria; Bacillati; Actinomycetota; Actinomycetes.